Molecule: ribosomal RNA, 253 nt
Filed under: uncultured bacterium
Lineage: Bacteria
Description: partial 16S ribosomal RNA
Rfam family: Bacterial small subunit ribosomal RNA
Source: RNAcentral
UACGUAGGGUGCAAGCGUUGUCCGGAAUUAUUGGGCGUAAAGAGCUCGUAGGCGGUCUGUCGCGUCUGCUGUGAAAACUCGGGGCUUAACCCCGGGCCUGCAGUGGGUACGGGCAGACUAGAGUGUGGUAGGGGAGACUGGAAUUCCUGGUGUAGCGGUGAAAUGCGCAGAUAUCAGGAGGAACACCGAUGGCGAAGGCAGGUCUCUGGGCCACUACUGACGCUGAGAAGCGAAAGCAUGGGGAGCGAACAGG